Molecule: ribosomal RNA, 315 nt
Filed under: uncultured bacterium
Lineage: Bacteria
Description: partial 16S ribosomal RNA
Rfam family: Bacterial small subunit ribosomal RNA
Source: RNAcentral
UGUAUAAGAGACAGCAGUAGCCGCGGUAAUACGGAGGGUGCAAGCGUUAAUCGGAAUUACUGGGCGUAAAGCGCACGCAGGCGGUCUGACAAGUCAGAUGUGAAAUCCCCGGGCUUAACCUGGGAACUGCAUUUGAAACUGUCAGGCUGGAGUCUUGUAGAGGGGGGUGGAAUUCCAGGUGUAGCGGUGAAAUGCGUAGAGAUCUGGAGGAAUACCGGUGGCGAAGGCGGCCCCUGGACAAAGACUGACGCUCAGGUGCGAAAGCGUGGGGAGCAAACAGGAUUAGAUACCCCAGUAGUCCCUGUCUCUUAUACA